Non-coding RNA from Triticum aestivum (bread wheat), 124 nucleotides. The record is from Rfam. Lineage: Eukaryota; Viridiplantae; Streptophyta; Magnoliopsida; Poales; Poaceae.
UUAGUACUCCCUCCGUCCGGAAAUACUUGUCAAAAAAUGAAUUUAUCUAGACAUAGUUUAGUUCUAGAUACAUUCUUUUUUACUCAUUUCGGCGACAAGUAAUUUCAGACGGAGAGAGUACCAU